RNAcentral lists this ribosomal RNA (312 nucleotides) under Sarococcus comis. RNAcentral describes it as "partial 28S large subunit ribosomal RNA". Lineage: Eukaryota; Metazoa; Arthropoda; Insecta; Hemiptera; Pseudococcidae. The record is from RNAcentral.
AAACCGUUCGGGGGGAAACGGACAGAGCUCGUGAAUCCGGGUGACGGAAUUCAGAAUCGACGACGUUCACGCGUUGUAGGCUCGAUAUUUCCGUCACCGUUUAUUUCGGACGUCGCGACCCGUUUGGUGUCGGUUUGAGGAGACGUGUGAAAGUUCGUUAGCGCGCCGGGGACUUCGGUUCUCGGUACGUCGACGAGUACGCGUUCUAUUUCUAGCCGACUGGCCAGACGGUACGUAAUGGUGAUCGCAGCGGCCUUUUUUAGCGUCGCUGCUCGACGCCUGUCUGCGACGAAUCUUCGAGUCUCUUUCCGA